UACGUAGGGGGCAAGCGUUGUCCGGAAUCAUUGGGCGUAAAGCGCGUGUAGGCGGUUCGAUACGUCUGCUGUGAAAGUCCAGGGCUCAACCCUGGGAUGCCGGUGGAUACUGUCGGGCUAGAGUGCGGAAGAGGCGAGUGGAAUUCCUGGUGUAGCGGUGAAAUGCGCAGAUAUCAGGAGGAACACCAAUUGCGAAGGCAGCUCGCUGGGACGUUACUGACGCUGAGACGCGAAAGCGUGGGGAGCAAACAGG
Molecule: ribosomal RNA, 253 nt
Filed under: uncultured bacterium
Lineage: Bacteria
Description: partial 16S ribosomal RNA
Rfam family: Bacterial small subunit ribosomal RNA
Source: RNAcentral